This 82-nucleotide transfer RNA is filed under the name Puccinia triticina 1-1 BBBD Race 1. RNAcentral describes it as "tRNA-Ser (TGA) (tRNA-Ser-TGA-3-1)". It matches the Rfam family "tRNA". Rfam says of the family: Transfer RNA (tRNA) molecules are approximately 80 nucleotides in length. Their secondary structure includes four short double-helical elements and three loops (D, anti-codon, and T loops). Lineage: Eukaryota; Fungi; Basidiomycota; Pucciniomycetes; Pucciniales; Pucciniaceae. The record is from RNAcentral.
GACAGGGUGGCCAAGUGGUUAAGGCAGCAGUUUUGAAAGCUAUUUCACUUUGUGAGUGUGAGUUCAAACCUCACUCCUGUGG